CCUACGGGAGACAGCAGUGGGGAAUAUUGGGCAAUGGGCGCAAGCCUGACCCAGCAACGCCGCGUGAAGGAAGAAGGCUUUCGGGUUGUAAACUUCUUUUCUCAGGGACGAAGCAAGUGACGGUACCUGAUGAAUAAGCCACGGCUAACUACGUGCCAGCAGCCGCGGUAAUACGUAGGUGGCAAGCGUUAUCCGGAUUUACUGGGUGUAAAGGGCGUGUAGGCGGGAAAGCAAGUCAGAUGUGAAAACCACGGGCUCAACAUGUGGUCUGCAUUUGAAACUGUUUUUCUUGAGUACUGGAGAGGCAGACGGAAUUCCUAGUGGAGCGGUGAAAUGCGUAGAUAUUAGGAGGAACACCAGUGGCGAAGGCGGUCUGCUGGACAGCAACUGACGCUGAGGCGCGAAAGCGUGGGGAGCAAACAGGAUUAGAUACCCCAGUAGUC
Molecule: ribosomal RNA, 443 nt
Filed under: uncultured bacterium
Lineage: Bacteria
Description: partial 16S ribosomal RNA
Rfam family: Bacterial small subunit ribosomal RNA
Source: RNAcentral